Molecule: ribosomal RNA, 300 nt
Filed under: uncultured Bacillus sp.
Lineage: Bacteria; Bacillati; Bacillota; Bacilli; Caryophanales; Bacillaceae
Description: bacterial SSU rRNA
Rfam family: Bacterial small subunit ribosomal RNA (bases 52-300)
Source: RNAcentral
GCAAGUGGCGGAGGUGGAGCGGGGGUUAGAUGUGGUGGUCGGGCGGUGUCCGGAGUGAGUGGUCGUAAAGAGCUCGUAGGGUGCGUGUCGGGUAUACCGGGAAAACUCACAGCUAAGCUGGGAGCUUGCGGUCGGUACGGGCAGGCUCGAGUUCGGUAGGGGAGACUGGAAUUCCUGGUGUAGCGGUGAAAUGCGCAGAUAUCAGGAGGAACACCGGUGGCGAAGGCGGGUCGCUGGGCCGAUACUGACGCUGAGGAGCGAAAGCGUGGGGAGCGAACAGGAUUAGAUACCCGGGUAGUC